GGCACAAACAGAAACUAGACAUAUAUAAAUUGGUCCAAGAAGUAAAUGAUACUAGUCCAAACAGUACAUAAUAAUAGCUACCAUAGAUAUAUAUACAAGUGUUCGACGUUCAGAACACUACUCGUCUGAAUCAUCUAAAUCAGAAUGUCCACUUUCCUCGAGGUGACGCUGGCCAUAGUGGACGACUCGAAUCUUGCGGU
RNAcentral lists this long non-coding RNA (200 nucleotides) under Hordeum vulgare. RNAcentral's name for it is "long non-coding RNA (HVUL_LNC020418)". Lineage: Eukaryota; Viridiplantae; Streptophyta; Magnoliopsida; Poales; Poaceae. The record is from RNAcentral.